Molecule: ribosomal RNA, 629 nt
Filed under: Moniliophthora ticoi
Lineage: Eukaryota; Fungi; Basidiomycota; Agaricomycetes; Agaricales; Marasmiaceae
Description: partial large subunit ribosomal RNA
Rfam family: Eukaryotic large subunit ribosomal RNA
Source: RNAcentral
UAUCAAUAAGCGGAGGAAAAGAAACUAACAAGGAUUCCCCUAGUAACUGCGAGUGAAGAGGGAAAAGCUCAAAUUUGAAAUCUGGCAGUCUCUGGCUGUCCGAGUUGUAAUUUAGAGAAGUGUUACCCGUGCUGGACCGUGUAUAAGUCUCCUGGAAUGGAGCGUCAUAGAGGGUGAGAAUCCCGUCUUUGACACGGACUCCCAGUGCAUUGUGGUGCGCUCUCGAAGAGUCGAGUUGUUUGGGAAUGCAGCUCUAAAUGGGUGGUAAAUUCCAUCUAAAGCUAAAUAUUGGCGAGAGACCGAUAGCGAACAAGUACCGUGAGGGAAAGAUGAAAAGAACUUUGGAAAGAGAGUUAAACAGUACGUGAAAUUGCUGAAAGGGAAACGCUUGAAGUCAGUCGCGUUGACCAGGGAUCAACCUUGCUUUUAGUGAGGCGUACUUCCUGGUUUAACGGGUCAGCAUCAGUUUUGACCGCUGGAGAAAGGCUUGGGGAAUGUGGCAUCUCCGGAUGUGUUAUAGCCCCUUGUCGUAUACAGCGGUUGGGACUGAGGAACUCAGCACGCCGCAAGGCCGGGUUUUUAACCACGUUCGUGCUUAGGAUGCUGGCAUAAUGGCUUUAAGCGACCCC